GAUGAAGAACGCAGCGAAAUGCGAUACUUGGUGUGAAUUGCAGAAUCCCGUGAACCAUCGAGUCUUUGAACGCAAGUUGCGCCUCAAGCCAUUAGGUUGAGGGCACGUCUGCUUGGGCGUCACAUAUCGUUGCCUGAUGCCAGUUUCCUCGUGAUGGGUGACUGUGCAGGGCGAAUGAUGGCUUCCCGUGAGCAUUGUUGCCUCAUGGUUGGUUGAAAAUUGAGUCCUUGGUAGGGAGCGCCGUGAUAGAUGGUGGUUGAGUGACGAACGAGACCCAAUCAUGUGAGACCCCUACCGAAUUUGGCCUUCAUGACCCACAUGCGUCUUUGGAACGCUCAUGACGAGACCUCAGGUCAGGCGGGGCUACCCGCUGAGUUUAAGCAUAUCAAUAAGCGGAGGA
RNAcentral lists this unclassified non-coding RNA (400 nucleotides) under soil metagenome. RNAcentral's name for it is "partial contains 5.8S ribosomal RNA, internal transcribed spacer 2, and large subunit ribosomal RNA". The stretch from base 1 to 122 matches the Rfam family "5.8S ribosomal RNA", at positions 35 to 154 of the family's 154-position model. The record is from RNAcentral.